GUACAAGUGAGUGCCCCCUUAAAUUUUGCACCCCAGGCACCUCACUUGCUUCCCUCUCAUUCCAGCCCUGUCACGCAGGCCUAGAUUUGUGACCCUGCUCAGCCACUUACAAGCUGUGUGACCUUCAGCAAGUCGCUUAAGCUCUCUGAGACUUGUUUUCCUCCUCUAAGCAUGGGCACAGGAAGCAUACUCACCCUGCUCACCUUGCAGGGCUGUAGUGAGGAUCAGACAGGAUGGAGAGGAAGGAGCUUUGGGAAUGAAAAGACCCUGGACAGAGGUGGUAUUGAGAGUGUGGGAGCAGCUUGCAGCCCUCAGGAGGAUGGAGCCCCUCCUCCAGGGAUGUUUAGCGUCAUAACCUGGUGUGCUUUGCUGCCGUGGCCCACCCUCUGGAUUUCCUGCCUCGAACUCACAUGUGGUGUGCGUGAUGUAGAUGGGGAAAAUCUGAAGCACACGCUGGUUGAGAAAUUUGCCCAAGGCCCCACAGCCAGUUCCAGCACUGAUGGUUGCCACGGACAUUAUUUCCUUCAGUUUAUGACAGCCCUGAGAAGUCACUGGUCACGGAUAGCGUUGGUUCAUGAGAGCUGAUUGCUAAAUUUCCAGGAAUUUUGAGUCAGUUGUUAAACAUAGCCAUUAUUCAAUAGAUGGAGAUGGAAUCCUGGCUUUGCCACUUACCAGCUAGGUGACCUCGCCACGUGGCAAAAGCUACAAAGGAGUGAGGAGGGUUUGGAAACAGGCCCCUCUAGAGUCAAGUCUCGGCUUCGGUCUGACUAUCUGCGUCAGUUUUCUCGUCUGUAAAUGGGGAGCAGCUGCUGUUGAUAGCAGUAUCUGUUGUAUCUCUCACACGCUUUUGAAGGUUUGCUGAAUACUCACUAUGUGCCGAGCAUUGUUCUAAGCUCCUUGCUGAUAUUUUCUUAUUAAUGUUCCAGCCACUCAAUGAGAGAAGUAUCGUUCUCCCAAUGGGGAAGUGGAGGAAUAGCC
This is a long non-coding RNA of Equus caballus (horse), 978 nucleotides long. Lineage: Eukaryota; Metazoa; Chordata; Mammalia; Perissodactyla; Equidae. The record is from Ensembl.